ACACAUGCAAGUCGAACGGUAACAGGAAGAAGCUUGCUUCUUUGCUGACGAGUGGCGGACGGGUGAGUAAUGUCUGGGAAACUGCCUGAUGGAGGGGGAUAACUACUGGAAACGGUAGCUAAUACCGCAUAACGUCGCAAGACCAAAGAGGGGGACCUUCGGGCCUCUUGCCAUCGGAUGUGCCCAGAUGGGAUUAGCUAGUAGGUGGGGUAACGGCUCACCUAGGCGACGAUCCCUAGCUGGUCUGAGAGGAUGACCAGCCACACUGGAACUGAGACACGGUCCAGACUCCUACGGGAGGCAGCAGUGGGGAAUAUUGCACAAUGGGCGCAAGCCUGAUGCAGCCAUGCCGCGUGUAUGAAGAAGGCCUUCGGGUUGUAAAGUACUUUCAGCGGGGAGGAAGGGAGUAAAGUUAAUACCUUUGCUCAUUGACGUUACCCGCAGAAGAAGCACCGGCUAACUCCGUGCCAGCAGCCGCGGUAAUACGGAGGGUGCAAGCGUUAAUCGGAAUUACUGGGCGUAAAGCGCACGCAGGCGGUUUGUUAAGUCAGAUGUGAAAUCCCCGGGCUCAACCUGGGAACUGCAUCUGAUACUGGCAAGCUUGAGUCUCGUAGAGGGGGGUAGAAUUCCAGGUGUAGCGGUGAAAUGCGUAGAGAUCUGGAGGAAUACCGGUGGCGAAGGCGGCCCCCUGGACGAAGACUGACGCUC
This 708-nucleotide ribosomal RNA is filed under the name uncultured Pseudomonadota bacterium. RNAcentral describes it as "bacterial SSU rRNA". It matches the Rfam family "Bacterial small subunit ribosomal RNA", at positions 51 to 748 of the family's 1533-position model. The record is from RNAcentral. Lineage: Bacteria; Pseudomonadati; Pseudomonadota.